AAUAGAUACCCUGGUAGUCCACGCCGUAAACGGUGGGCACUAGGUGUGGGCAACAUUCCACGUUGUCCGUGCCGCAGCUAACGCAUUAAGUGCCCCGCCUGGGGAGUACGGCCGCAAGGCUAAAAACUCAAAGGAAUUGACGGGGGCCCGCACAAGUGGCGGAGCAUGUGGCUUAAUUCGACGCAACGCGAAGAACCUUACCAAGGCUUGACAUACACCGGAAACGUCUGGAGACAGGCGCCCCCUUGUGGUCGGUGUACAGGUGGUGCAUGGCUGUCGUCAGCUCGUGUCGUGAGAUGUUGGGUUAAGUCCCGCGACGAGCGCAACCCUUGUCCCGUGUUGCCAGCAGGCCCUUGUGGUGCUGGGGACUCACGGGAGACCGCCGGGGUCAACUCGGAGGAAGGUGGGGACGACGUCAAGUCAUCAUGCCCCUUAUGUCUUGGGCUGCACACGUGCUACAAUGGCCGGUACAAUGAGCUGCGAUACCGCGAGGUGGAGCGAAUCUCAAAAACGCCGGUCUCAGUUCGGAUUGGGGUCUG
This 539-nucleotide ribosomal RNA is filed under the name uncultured bacterium. RNAcentral describes it as "bacterial SSU rRNA". It matches the Rfam family "Bacterial small subunit ribosomal RNA", at positions 777 to 1307 of the family's 1533-position model. The record is from RNAcentral.